GUUGAUGUAGCAGGGAAGGGAAUUGGGUCCUCAUUGGAUGAAUCCAAGGUGCAGGUUGCUGAAGAAGCUCUUGGAAAUCUAAAGUUAAUGCUUCGUCAGAAUACUCUGAAACGUCCAGGUUCUCCAAGGUCAUUACAAGGGAUCUCAAGUAAACAGCUGAAGUUAGAAUUCUCACGAGUUUUGCAGUUGAUACCUUCCAUCAGAUAUUCCAAGAAGACCCCUCAUUGACAAAAGUCCAAUAAUGGGUGUAGAGUUGUCAUCUCUACUGCACAUUUGCACAUGAUGGGCAGCAUUAUCCAUAUCACUACCAUUCUCCACCAAACCAAUACUACUAAUGUGGUUUUGACUUUCCUGUGAUGCUGAAAUCCCAUUGGAUAGAUCUGACACUGAACUGACCAAAUUCUUUUGAAAAGUAAGGGAAGAGAUAUAGAUGAUCUUGAUAAACAGCAGAGUUACACUACAGGUAUAAAUUUCAUGUUUUAUCUUCAAAAAAUCAUCACCAUCGGUCAGCAGAAUGUGAGAAGGUUGCUGAUCCCCACUCCCCAGCUAUCUCUUUAUGUGUAUCAUGCCAUCACUUCAAGUUCCAUGGUCUUCAGGAGAGAUGACUUUGGUUAAGAUUUUUCUCUUUCGGGGGCUUUCGGUUUUUACAUUUAUGAAGGAAUACUAUAUUGAUGAAGAGAGUUUAGUUUCUGGUAUUACUCUCUUGAGCUUUAGAGGAGUAUCUGUACUGUCAGCAAGCGAGACCCUGAAAGAGCCAACAUUGCUUGAGAUAACGUUUGUGUAUGGGAUUCACAGGUCUGGCAGCAGUCAGGAUUGAUUCCUUGGUUUUUCCUUUUGAGGAUCAUUGCCUGCAGCUUAAAGGGAUGGAUCAUGGAUGUGUCUCAACCAGCUGAUUUAGUUGCCAUUUGUCCUGUAGAAAGGGAAAAAAAUAGCAACUGUAGUUGCAUGACCAUGUUGAAUGGUCUCAGUGCUGAUUUUGUUGAAUUGACAGAUUGAUUAACUUUUGUACAAAUGUUCUCAUUUGCUUGUGAUGUGUAGUAUAUAGUUUCCAUGUAUGUGCCUGAAGAUCCUGAACACUUGAAUACGAGUUGAUGAUCUAAAAGAAAUUUUAAGCAAUGACUGUAGCAAAAGUGAUUUUACUGGA
Non-coding RNA from Nelumbo nucifera (sacred lotus), 1144 nucleotides. NCBI's taxonomy places the organism in Eukaryota, Viridiplantae, Streptophyta, Magnoliopsida, Proteales, Nelumbonaceae. The record is from RefSeq and is a predicted model, not a curated record.